ACUCUAGAUAAAAAAAAAAAAAAAAAAAAACCGCACACCAGAUCCCUCCAUUUCUCCUCUGCGUAUGCUUCUUCUUGGGGAAAACCCUAGACAAACACUACCUGUCUCCUCCUCAACUCCGAUGACCGGAGUAAACUCCGGCGAACAGCUGACACACACACCCUCAACUACUCUUCUCUCAUUUUUCUCAUUGUAGUGAAACCCUAACACAAACAACCACUGCCACUCCAUCUCCCUUCCCUCUCCCUCUCGUUCAAACACUGGCUGAUCUACACAUCUUUAGAUGCUCAUUAAGUCAAUGGAUCAUCAGAUUCUAACAAAUAAAGCGUUUUAAGAAAGUAUUAAUUUGGUUCGAGUCGGCGGCGGUUGUGGCUUAAGAAGAAUUCAGGUCAAAUCUUGACGGGUAUGGGUCAAAGUUGAGAUUGGUUAGAAAGGGAUCAUCAGGAGGGAGACUUGAAGGGCCAGGUCUUGAAGAAUUGAUUCAAUAGACGUGCUUUGAAUAAAUUAGAACACAUGUAGGAUUAUUCAGCAAUUUUGUAAAAUUCAUAGCUUAUGCUGUUGCUUAGUAGACGUUUGUAAAAGUUUGGAAUGUUUGGAUGAUGAUUAUACUUUUAAAUAAAGUGAUGAUAUUAUGAUUUCUACA
Long non-coding RNA from Helianthus annuus (common sunflower), 643 nucleotides. RefSeq lists it as uncharacterized. The transcript has 3 exons. The record is from RefSeq and is a predicted model, not a curated record. NCBI's taxonomy places the organism in Eukaryota, Viridiplantae, Streptophyta, Magnoliopsida, Asterales, Asteraceae.